This 310-nucleotide long non-coding RNA is filed under the name Oryza brachyantha (malo sina). RNAcentral describes it as "long non-coding RNA (OBRA_LNC003304)". The record is from RNAcentral. Lineage: Eukaryota; Viridiplantae; Streptophyta; Magnoliopsida; Poales; Poaceae.
CGAAAGGGCCUGUAGCCUAACGGUUACAAGGGCCUUAGUAGCACUCCUGGUUGGAGCGAAUAUUUCAGGAUUUUCUAACGGAUUUGUGCUUUCAGGGGUAGGCGCCGUCCCCGUUGAUCAGGCUUCGAAGAUGCUCAUAUGGGUAGGGUUUGCGUGCGUGCGUGCGUUCUUAGAGGAGAGUGUGCGUGUAUUGUGAGCAUUAUACUGUGUUCCUAAAAAAAAAGACUAAAGCAUCUUUCCUUUUUUUUUCUAAAACCCCAAUGCAUUUGUUCGUGCUUUUCAAACCUCAAUGCUUUGUUCUCUACUUACA